AAGAUACUAGUAAAACCGACUAUUACAUCGCCUUGUCGAGGCGUAGUUGCGGGUUUAAAUCCCGCGUGUCUUA
RNAcentral lists this transfer RNA (73 nucleotides) under Epinephelus fasciatomaculosus (rock grouper). Its description in RNAcentral is "tRNA-Asp". It matches the Rfam family "tRNA". Rfam says of the family: Transfer RNA (tRNA) molecules are approximately 80 nucleotides in length. The record is from RNAcentral. Lineage: Eukaryota; Metazoa; Chordata; Actinopteri; Perciformes; Serranidae.